RNAcentral lists this ribosomal RNA (254 nucleotides) under uncultured bacterium. RNAcentral describes it as "partial 16S ribosomal RNA". It matches the Rfam family "Bacterial small subunit ribosomal RNA", at positions 524 to 776 of the family's 1533-position model. The record is from RNAcentral.
UACGGAGGGUGCGAGCGUUAUCCGGAAUCACUGGGUUUAAAGGGUGCGUAGGCGGCGAGGUAAGUCAGUUGUGAAAUUCUCCGGCUCAACCGGGUGGACUGCGAUUGAUACUGCUUUGCUUGAAGCGGGUUGAGGUAAGCGGAAUGUGGCAUGUAGCGGUGAAAUGCAUAGAUAUGCCAUAGAACACCGAUUGCGAAGGCAGCUUGCUGGGCCUAGUUUGACGCUGAGGCAAGAAAGCGUGGGGAGCAAACAGG